CACUAGUCAAAUAUCGAUAUGAAAAUUCUUCGAUUUAGAGAUACGCCUUGGGGUAAAAUUGAUUUGUUUUUCAUCUAGAAUUAUUCUUGCAUUAUUCGGUCUUUUAGUGGAUAUUAUAAAACCAUUUAUAUAGUAUUUAUAAAUUUAUAUUAGGGGCGCCGCAAAUAAAUUUGUAAGUAUUAAUUUCAAACUUAAAUGGUAUUAGCUUAAGACUAAAAAAUACCAGAAAUUUAUAUGGAGAUGCCAACCCAAGCAUAGAUUAACGUCUUAAAGCCCUUCAGCAAAUGUUUUAAAAUUUUUAAUCUUCCAGUCAGUUUGUUCGACGAACAAAAAAGUUUAUUUUCAACAUUUGCAUAGGGAUGCCAAACGACAAAAAAUUUAAAUCACUGUGGAUGGCAGUCAUGCAUGCUUUGGCGUGCGCGAGGAGACUCUAUAUAUAGCCGAAGAAUUAAAAAUUUUCUGUAGACAUCCGAUCUGAUCGAAUUAUACUCCAACCGAAAGUACCAAAAACAACUGAGAGGGACACACUGAGAAAAGAGUGAGAGACAACGUCUUUAAAACAAUAGAAAAUGCAAAGACAGUCGAUGAGAGAAAGAAAAUUCUCUCAGCAAAGUAAGUAAGCGGAGAGGGAGAGAGGGAACACAUAUUCUUGUGUUUCUAAAUAUUUUUCGCGUGAAACUUUAACCCAAUAGUUCAAUGGUUAAGAUGUCUGCCUGUUAAUCUUAGAUCGUUGGUUCGAUUCCCACCGGAAAACUAUGAAUAUUAUGAGUUUACUUUUAUUUUUUUUUAAUAUCGCAAGCUUAAUAUAAAAUUUUACAUUUAUUCUUUUUUUAAAUGGGGAUUUAAAAAAUAAUUGAGAUUGAUAUAUACAACUUUGUAGAGUCAUAUUAUUGUCAGUCGCUGCCUACGCGCGAUUCCUUGAUAGCUUAGAGGCUUGUCUCUUAAACAAAAGCUCGGAGGUUCGAAUCCCAGUCCAGG
Molecule: long non-coding RNA, 978 nt
Organism: Drosophila ananassae
Lineage: Eukaryota; Metazoa; Arthropoda; Insecta; Diptera; Drosophilidae
Exons: 3
Source: RefSeq, a predicted model, not a curated record